CGACCAUCCCAAGCUCUAUCGCGUCAAUGGGAAAUAAGGUCCGCUAUCCAGUUGAUGACAUCACAAGGCCUGUGGCAUGCACACUAGUUAUAAGAUAUAGUAUUAACAAUCAGCGUACAAAGAAAGUAGCCACAUGUCUUGCGAUCCCAGGACGCAAGUUCCAUAGAAACGACAUUCCAGAAGAAUAUUGCAGGGUAGAAGUGACGACAGUCGUCCAAGGAUCCGAGGACGACAUGCUAGACAUCCCUGGGCCCGAAGGUAUCGAGACACUUGGACAAGAUAUCAAGAAUUUUAUCCUUUGGCCUCGAAGGGAUGUCGAAUUGGUUGAUCCACCACGACAGCCG
Molecule: unclassified non-coding RNA, 344 nt
Filed under: Zea mays
Lineage: Eukaryota; Viridiplantae; Streptophyta; Magnoliopsida; Poales; Poaceae
Description: misc RNA Zm00001eb077730
Source: RNAcentral